RNAcentral lists this small nuclear RNA (79 nucleotides) under Microcebus murinus (gray mouse lemur). Lineage: Eukaryota; Metazoa; Chordata; Mammalia; Primates; Cheirogaleidae. The record is from RNAcentral.
UUCUGGAAUGAUACAGAAAAGAUUAGCAUAGCCCCUGCACAAAGAUGACACACAAAUUCAUAAAGCAUUUCAUAUUUAA